AGGGGGGAAUCUUGGACAAUGGGGGAAACCCUGAUCCAGCGACGCCGCGUGGAGGACGAAGGUCUUCGGAUCGUAAACUCCUUUUGACAGGGAAGAUGAUGACGGUACCUGUCGAAUAAGCCCCGGCUAACUACGUGCCAGCAGCCGCGGUAAGGCGGAGGGGGCUAGCGUUGUUCGGAAUUACUGGGCGUAAAGCGCGCGUAGGCGGCCGGUCAAGUUAGGCGUGAAAGGCCUGGGCUCAACCGUGGGAACGGCGCUUAAGACUGAUCGGCUGGAGUCCGGGAGAGGGUGGUGGAAUUCCCAGUGUAGAGGUGAAAUUCGUAGAUAUUGGGAGGAACACCGGUGGCGAAGGCGGCCACCUGGCCCGGCACUGACGCUGAGGCGCGAAAGCGUGGGGAGCAAACAGGAUUAGAUACCCUGGUAGUCCACGCCGUAAACGAUGAGUGCUAGAUGCUGGGGGGUUUACCCUUCGGUGUCGCAGCUAACGCGUUAAGCACUCCGCCUGGGGAGUACGGCCGCAAGGUUA
Molecule: ribosomal RNA, 526 nt
Filed under: uncultured Pseudomonadota bacterium
Lineage: Bacteria; Pseudomonadati; Pseudomonadota
Description: bacterial SSU rRNA
Rfam family: Bacterial small subunit ribosomal RNA
Source: RNAcentral